AACGAACGCUGGCGGCAGGCCUAACACAUGCAAGUCGAGCGGUAAGGCCCUUUCGGGGGUACACGAGCGGCGAACGGGUGAGUAACACGUGGGCGACCUACCCUCAGCUUCGGGAUAAGCCUGGGAAACUGGGUCUAAUACCGGAUAUGACCUUCCCUCGCAUGGGGGUUGGUGGAAAGUUUUUUCGGCUGGGGAGUGGGCCCGCGGCCUAUCAGCUUGUUGGUGGGGUGAUGGCCUACCAAGGCGACGACGGGUAGCCGGCCUGAGAGGGCGACCGGCCACACUGGGACUGAGAUACGGCCCAGACUCCUACGGGAGGCAGCAGUGGGAAUAUUGCGCAAUGGGCGGAAGCCUGACGCAGCGACGCCGCGUGGGGGAUGACGGCCUUCGG
RNAcentral lists this ribosomal RNA (391 nucleotides) under uncultured bacterium. Its description in RNAcentral is "bacterial SSU rRNA". It matches the Rfam family "Bacterial small subunit ribosomal RNA", at positions 28 to 421 of the family's 1533-position model. The record is from RNAcentral.